This 492-nucleotide ribosomal RNA is filed under the name uncultured bacterium. RNAcentral describes it as "partial 16S ribosomal RNA". It matches the Rfam family "Bacterial small subunit ribosomal RNA", at positions 29 to 507 of the family's 1533-position model. The record is from RNAcentral.
AGUGAACGCUGGCGGUAGGCCUAACACAUGCAAGUCGAACGGCAGCACAGUAAGAGCUUGCUCUUACGGGUGGCGAGUGGCGGACGGGUGAGGAAUACAUCGGAAUCUACUUUUUCGUGGGGGAUAACGUAGGGAAACUUACGCUAAUACCGCAUACGACCUACGGGUGAAAGCAGGGGAUCUUCGGACCUUGCGCGAUUGAAUGAGCCGAUGUCGGAUUAGCUAGUUGGUGGGGUAAAGGCCCACCAAGGCGACGAUCCGUAGCUGAUCUGAGAGGAUGAUCAGCCACACUGGAACUGAGACACGGUCCAGACUCCUACGGGAGGCAGCAGUGGGGAAUAUUGGACAAUGGGCGCAAGCCUGACGCAGCCAUACCGCGUGGGUGAAGAAGGCCUUCGGGUUGUAAAGCCCUUUUGUUGGGAAAGAAAAGCAGCAGGUUAAUACCCCGCUGUUCUGACGGUACCCAAAGAAUAAGCACCGGCUAACUUCGUG